Molecule: transfer RNA, 73 nt
Filed under: Virgisporangium aurantiacum
Lineage: Bacteria; Bacillati; Actinomycetota; Actinomycetes; Micromonosporales; Micromonosporaceae
Description: tRNA-Arg
Rfam family: tRNA
About the family: Transfer RNA (tRNA) molecules are approximately 80 nucleotides in length. Their secondary structure includes four short double-helical elements and three loops (D, anti-codon, and T loops).
Source: RNAcentral
GCCUACGUGGUCCAAAGGAGAAGACACAGGUCUACGAAACCUGGGAUCGGGGUUCGAUUCCCUGCGUGGGCAC